RNAcentral lists this ribosomal RNA (482 nucleotides) under uncultured bacterium. RNAcentral's name for it is "bacterial SSU rRNA". It matches the Rfam family "Bacterial small subunit ribosomal RNA", at positions 28 to 523 of the family's 1533-position model. The record is from RNAcentral.
GACGAACGCUGGCGGCGUGCUUAACACAUGCAAGUGGAGCGACGAACCGGGGCUUGCCCCGGGGCAAAGCCGCGAACGGGUGAGUAACACGUGGGUAACCCACCUCGAUGACCGGGACAACCCGAGGAAACUCGGGCUAAUACCGGAUGUGCUCUUCUCUCUCAAGAGAGUCGAGGAAAGAUAGCUUCGGCCUUCGCAUCGAGACGGGCCGCGGCCCAUUAGCUUGUUGGUGGGUAACGGCCUACCAAGGCUUCGAUGGGUAGCUGGUCUGAGAGGACGAUCAGCCACACGGGGACUGAGACACGGCCCCGACUCCUACGGGAGGCAGCAGCAAGGAAUUUUCCGCAAUGGGGGCAACCCUGACGGAGCAACGCCGCGUGACGGAUGACGCCUCUUGGGUGUAAACGUCUUUUGCCGGGGGAGAGAACGGACGGUACCCGGCGAAUCAGGACCGGCUAACUACGUGCCAGCCGCCGCGGUAA